UCGGGUGUGGUGUACGGAACACACUCCCUCUUCUUGAAAAGGGGGGCAAAUAAUUGUGAAGGGAGAGACCCGGGUUCGAUUCCCGGUGCCCGAA
Non-coding RNA from Mycena leptocephala, 94 nucleotides. The record is from the annotation of a GenBank genome assembly. NCBI's taxonomy places the organism in Eukaryota, Fungi, Basidiomycota, Agaricomycetes, Agaricales, Mycenaceae.